Long non-coding RNA from Paralichthys olivaceus (Japanese flounder), 793 nucleotides. RefSeq lists it as uncharacterized. The record is from RefSeq and is a predicted model, not a curated record. Lineage: Eukaryota; Metazoa; Chordata; Actinopteri; Pleuronectiformes; Paralichthyidae.
CCCACUUUCACCUCCUGGAGCAGCAUGGUCUUCAGGAUCAAGGGCCAUUUUGUCUGAACUGCUGGUGCAAUUCUACUGAGGAAUUCUGUCAAGUGACCAUGGCUUUGACCUGUGCAGGUCCUUACACUUCAACGGUCCAUUCACAUCAGCCAGUUUGAUGCACAUCUGGCACACAAGCAAUCGGUCGUUCUCGUUGGUCCAGUCGAUGCCAGACACGCCUUCAUCACCCACCUGGGGAGGUGCACAGAGAGCAUUGCUGCUAUUUCCCCCUGGACCACCAUCCCCCAGUCCUCUCCUGAGAGGCAGUCAGGAGAUAUGUACGCAGAUCAGGCAGAAAGGCAGAUGGUGAAAACAGAGAGGGGGAGCGAGAUAAAGAGAAAAAGAGAGCUAGACACAGUGCAAAAGAGGAGCUGAGUCCACAGGCAGGCCAUGGCCAGUCAAGUGAGAAAGAGGAGAGCUCACUGUGUCAGGCCAGCUGAGCUCCUCUGCAGUCUCUGCUGUAAAUACAGCACUACAGUGAGGGGCUGACCACUCCACCAACAGUACAGAGACACUGUCACACAUACAGAAUACCUCCACACCUCUCCUACUGGCUUAAGAAUGAAUGCUGAAGCAGGAGGAUGCAGCUGAGCAUGAGCUCAGAGCCUCAGAGGCCAACUUCAUGUUCUCGAUACAGGAGGGUGGAAGCAGAAUUGUAAACAGUUGCAGGAUUACAGAGCAGAAUCGCCUCACAGUUCCAAGGCUAUUAAGCCAUAACAAAAUCUAUUGAAUUGUUAAUGAUGAUACAUGUGUU